This 80-nucleotide transfer RNA is filed under the name Aliiruegeria lutimaris. RNAcentral describes it as "Pseudoruegeria lutimaris tRNA_Thr_GGT". Lineage: Bacteria; Pseudomonadati; Pseudomonadota; Alphaproteobacteria; Rhodobacterales; Roseobacteraceae. The record is from RNAcentral.
GCUCGCGUCGGUCAGGUGGUGACACCACCUCUCGGUUGGUAAGGGAGAGGUCGAGAGUUCAAAUCUCUCCGGCAGCACCA